RNAcentral lists this small RNA (76 nucleotides) under Xanthomonas oryzae pv. oryzae. RNAcentral describes it as "sX9 sRNA". It matches the Rfam family "Xanthomonas sRNA sX9". The record is from RNAcentral. Lineage: Bacteria; Pseudomonadati; Pseudomonadota; Gammaproteobacteria; Lysobacterales; Lysobacteraceae.
AUGUACCCCCGUCCACUGCGGUUCUGAGCGCGCCGUCCGCGCCCACCUGACAGCUGCUCGCGACGUUGUGUUAACC